RNAcentral lists this ribosomal RNA (253 nucleotides) under uncultured bacterium. RNAcentral's name for it is "partial 16S ribosomal RNA". It matches the Rfam family "Bacterial small subunit ribosomal RNA", at positions 524 to 776 of the family's 1533-position model. The record is from RNAcentral.
GACAGAGGGUGCAAACGUUGCUCGGAAUUACUGGGCGUAAAGCGCGUGUAGGCGGACCGAUAAGUCAGAUGUGAAAUCCCUGGGCUCAACCCAGGAACUGCAUUUGAAACUGUCGGUCUUGAGUAAUGGAGAGGAAAGCGGAAUUCCCGGUGUAGAGGUGAAAUUCGUAGAUAUCGGGAGGAACACCAGUGGCGAAGGCGGCUCACUGGCUCGAUACUGACGCUGAGGUACGAAAGUGUGGGGAGCAAACAGG